This 253-nucleotide ribosomal RNA is filed under the name uncultured bacterium. RNAcentral describes it as "partial 16S ribosomal RNA". It matches the Rfam family "Bacterial small subunit ribosomal RNA", at positions 524 to 776 of the family's 1533-position model. The record is from RNAcentral.
UACGUAGGGACCGAGCGUUGUCCGGAAUCAUUGGGCGUAAAGAGCGUGUAGGCGGCCACUUAAGUCCUGCGUGAAAUCUUGCGGCUCAACCGCAAGCGGUCGUGGGAAACUGGGUGGCUAGAAUUCGGUAGGGGAGACUGGAAUUCCUGGUGUAGCGGUGAAAUGCGCAGAUAUCAGGAGGAACACCGGUGGCGAAGGCGGGUCUCUGGGCCGAUAUUGACGCUGAGGAGCGAAAGCGUGGGGAGCAAACAGG